UUGUUGUUGUUGUUGUUGUUGUUGUUGUUGUUGUUGUUGCUAUUUCUUGGGCCGCUCCCGCGGCAUAUGGAGGUUCCCAGGCUAGGGGUCUAAUCGGAGCUGUAGCCACCGGCCUACGCCAGAGCCACAGCAACGCGGGAUCCGAGCCGCGUCUGCAACCUACACCACAGCUCACGGCAACGCCGGAUCGUUAACCCACUGAGCAAGGGCAGGGAUCGAACCCGCAACCUCAUGGUUCCUAGUCGGAUUCGUUAACCACUGCGCCACGACGGGAACUACUAAUCUUCUUUCUUAACCAUUCCCAUAGCACCCUUUGUGCCCCAGUGGAACAGAGCUGCUUAUAAAUCCUGCUAAGCUCACUCGUGCAUCUAAAGCUUUUCAUGGCUGUUCUUCUUGUAGGACAGAUAAUCCUAACAGAUGGUUCUCCUACCAAACACUGGCCUUCUGCCUCUCUAGCUGCCCAAUUUCUCCUCAUUCUGCAUGCUUACCUUAAAGACCACCCACUAUUUAAAAACUUGUUUCCUAACCAUGGUCUUAAAAUAGCUGGUACUUAUCCAACACCAAUAAAAACAAUGGAAAAAUCUGGACAGUGAUCAACUCCAGGUAGCUUUGGGAAACAGUUAUCAUAGAUCAAGUCUGGUAAAGAAUAAACGUGGCAAUGAUACGAACAAGGUUUUGGAGAGCAGGGUUUCAAAUGAUUGCAUUCGAGAGCAUCAGAAUAGUGCUUAAUACCUGCUAGACACUUGACAGCUAUUUGUUAAGGGAACAAUUAACAAAGAAAUAAAAGUGCUUCCUUUGAAAAUCCUGUCUAGAAAAAUACAGACAUUAAGCAGGGACAACUCUAUGAUCAGCAACUUGAAGGACAACCACCAUCUUUCUAUCUCCAAUAACUUGUAACAUCAGCAUGUGGAAGUUCGUUGAUUGACAGAGGAAUACUAAGGUGUCCCCAUACAGUUCAGAUGGCACCCUGUGCCAGGUGCUACAUCCAGGGAAUGGUAGUGCUUUUGACCACAUGAGGUAUUUUUCUGCUUUUUUUUAAGAUUUGGAUGAGUCCCAAGUUGGGCUACUUGAGGAACUGUUAGGAUAAUCCUUUAACGAAUGGCAAAGAAGAAUCUUGUUCACACAAAAUUACAGUGUCAUGACAUUUAUCCAACAAACAGAAGAAAACAUCUGGUUCCAAUGAAGUCAUUCCAUCUCACUCUCUUUGGACUUGUGAGGAAUGAAGUUGGUAAAAGCGAGACCUCUUGGCUGGGUGUAACAAUAUGCAAAAUAACCAGCACUUCUUGGCCAGGCAUUGCUUUUCCGACUUCUGUAUUAUUAGCAGGUAGCUUUAAAAAAUAAUAUCUUAUUGGUAUGCUGAGCACUGGCUCAGUUCUGCAGUUCUUGUUUUUUGUCAUUUGUUUCUAGUACCAGGAAUCAACUGCUAAGUUCCCAGUUUUAAAGAAGGUAACUUUUUUUGUUGUGAGCCACACGGGAAGUCGAAGAAGGUAACUUUUGUACGGAGACUAAUCACCAUGCGAUGACUAGUACUCAUCUAUGAAACGCAAUCCGUGUGUUGUAAAAAAGUAAAGGGCCAUUUUUAUAACAAGCCGACUUGUUAUGAUGUGAUUAUACAGCAAAUGCAACACACUAACAUAGAAUUCUUUUUUAUUUAGCAGCAGCUUGGGUCACUGCAGAGGUGCAGACUCAACUUGAGGCCUGGCACACUGGGUUAUCGAGUCUGGCAUUUCUGCAGCUCCAGCUUUGUUUCAAUCCCUGGGCCAGAUAUAGCCAUUAAAAAAAGAAAAAGAGUUCCUGUCGUGGUUCAGCGGUUAACGAAUCCGACUAGGAACCAUGAGGUUGCGGGUUCAUUCCCUGGCCUUGCUCAGUGGGUUAAGAAUCCAGCACUGCCAUGAGCUGUGGUGUAGGUUGCAGUCGCAGCUCGGAUCCCAUGCUGCUGUGGUUCUGGCGAAGGCUGGUGGCUACAGCUCCGAUUGGACCCCUAGACUGGGAACAUCUAUAUGCUGCGGAAGCGGCCUUAGAACAGGCAAAAAAAGAAAAGGAGUUUCCCUUGUGGCUCAGCAGGCUAAGGACCCAAUGUUGUCUCUGUGAGGAUGUGAGUUCCAUCCCUAGACUCACUCAGUGGGUUAUGGAUCAGGUUAUGGACCUAAGCUGUAGCAUAGGUCACAGAUGUGCUCAGAUCCAGUAUUUCUGUGGCUGUGGUGUGGGCCAGAAGCUUCAGCUCUGAUUUGAACCCUAGCCUGGGAACAUCCUUAUGCUUCAGGUGUGGCCUUCAAAGAAACAAACAAACAAAAAAACCAUUUUUCUUAUUUACAGGAUUUUAAGCUCCAUAGCUAAAUGCAUUCAUUUCUUUUCAAUAACACUGUCUCUGAUAUUAAAUUAUGUAAAUUGAUUUCUUAAACAAUUCUGGAUGCUAAACUAUUAAGAAUUUAAUUAACUAAAAAAGUCCAGAAGCAAUUUACACAAGGUUCUUUUCAUUGCUCUUUCAUUCUCAUAAUGUCCUCACUCUUACUUUCUCUAUGGUAAGAUCACUAAAAGUAAUUCCCUAUCAGCAGUCUUACCUAGGUUACUAUCUUGAGCAGGAGUUUUAGGUCCCAUUUCUCGUUUAUACUCCAAAAUCAUGUGGUGAUUCCUAUGUACAAAAGAAUAUGGUAAAUAGCAUUACUAUUUAAUAUUCAUGUAAAAACCAGUUACCAUAUAUAUUAAAUUCUUUGAUGUCUGACAAUACCAGAGCUAAUGUGAAAACUUCAGCUGUCCCAUAUACUUCAAAUUUGUAUGUUUUACAAGUAUUUUACUUAGCAUCUAAUUACAGAGUAAAAUAAAGCACGGUGAAGUAGUCAUUGAAUUGAGGGCAGGAAAGUGCAAUAAAUUAACUAGGGAAAGCUUGGUACAUGGAAAGUAUCUGCAGCUGAGAAAUCCUAGCUCUGUAACUAACUGUUAUUUUUUCCUGGAAAAGUUGCAUCUCUUCAGCUCAACGUCUUCUUCUAUGACACUGGAGUCUCACUGCCUCGAUUCACAAGGGCAUUGGGAGGAUCUGAGGAGAUAAUAGAUCCCCAAAAACGUCAUAGAGAGACCGAAAGAAUAGAAUCAUUCCUUCUUGAACUUUAUCACUAGAGGUAUAUUGGAACCCCAAAGAAAACCCAANUUUCUAAUUAUGGUGAGUAGCUGUUCUCUCUUUGUGGUUUGCCAUUUAGGGAUCUCAGCUAUGAGAUCAUUUGUAAGUGAAUUUAUCUAUAAAUAUAUGGCCUCAUUAGAGAACAUCCUGGUCCCCCAUUAUUGUAGCUAAUCGCACCAAGAGCAGAAACCUAGCAGAAGUCAGGACCUGGCUUGGACCACUACUGUUUCCUUCUCUAUCUGCUCAAACUCUGAACCAGCAGGUCUGUAUUAGAAGGAUGCUUCAGCUCCAUGGUCAUCUCCAAUUUACAUGGAAGACAACUCUACUUGUAGGCUGGGCACUGAUGAGUCAUGGCCAGGGCUUCCCUCUGCUAAUGUCCACUAACCUACUCGAGAUUCAGUGAUUUCUGGUGAAUGGCAUCUUUAGGAAUGAGAAUCUGAAAGUAUGUUGAAGGUUGACACCUACGGAAAGCAUCUGGAAGAUUUUGAGGACAGUGGAAAACAAGACUGGAGGGGCCGAGCUUAACUAUGGACUCUCAGGCCAGCUGGCACCUACUAGUCUGGGAAGGAUGGCAUGGGGCCUUCCACAACCUAAGAUGCUCCACAGGAUAGAAUGCAGCCUUAAGGUUCAUGUCUGGUACUAAAGGAGAAAGCAAAGUCUGAUCUUUCCCUGCAGCAUCACUGGAAUCUCUCUGACAGCCUAAAUGGUUCCCACUAACAUCUGCUAGGAGAAGAGACAAUCAAAAGCCUCCAAGAAUAGCUCCUUGUGAAGAUCUGGGCUACGAUGUGCACUCCACAUAAAGCUUGGGCAGCAGGGUGCGGGGUGUGCAUGGUUAAAGGUAGGAGGCCGAGCUGCCAGACUUGGUGCUAAUGCUGUGGAGCAGUGGCUGAGCCAUAAGCCUAUGUGAGAGGAAUGAAAAUGGUGUCACUAUCCAGGCUAAGGGUGAGUCACCAUGAAGAUAGAGGAACCAGGAUAAACAAGGGCAUCCUGGGAGAAGAGAUCCAUCAUGACCUUACUGCAGGACAACUUUCUUUUUCCUUUUCCAUUAAAAUGAUUUUAAUUAAGGUCUUUACAGGAGUUUCCAUCGUGGCACGGUGGUUAACAAAUCCGACUAGGAACCAUGAGGCUGCAGGUUUGAUCCCUGGCCUUGCUCAGUGGGUGAAGGAUCCAGAAGGAUCCGGCAUUGCCGUGAGCUGUGGUGUAGUUCGCAGAUGCGGCUCGGAUCCCACAUUGCUGUGGCUCUGGCAAAGGCUGGUGGCUACAGCUCCGAUUAGACCCCUAGCCUGGGAACCUCCAUAUGCCGCAGGAGCAGCCCUAGAAAAGGCAAGAAGACAAAAAAAGGUCUUUACAGAACAUCCAGACUCCAGAGUUUCAGCUGCCAAGGAGACCCUGUGUAGGCCAGUUUUCAUAGCAAUGCUGCAGCAAUGGAAUCAAUGGAAACAAUGGAAUGAUUGGAACAUCACUUUUUCCCUCCUAAUGACUGUGGAUGAGGACUGUCUCCUUCAUCUCAGGGAAUCACUUAGGUUCUUGGAAAAGUCAAGUGGGAGAGUAGAGAAGGAAAUCCCCAAGAAAACCAAAAAAUAGGAUUUUCUGUUUAAACUGAACACUUCAGACCCAGAUAGCUAGUUCAAAAAAUCAGAGAUGGGACACACUUUGUCCUCCACACAUAGGGGUUACACUUGGAAUGAAACAGACAAUGUUAGCAUCCUAAGGAUCAGCACUGGAAAUAAGAAUCCUGUGCCCAGGCCACAUCAAACUAGUCUGGCCUUUGGCCUGGUGUCCAGCUGAUGAUGGGGAGUACUUCCCAGGUAUUCCCAAGCCACCUGCAUCAAACUAUGAAUGCUCGCUCACCUGUCACAUAACAAGGAACUGGCAAGUGAUUUGUCACUUCAGUUUAGGGAUAUAAAUGGUAAUUUAAUGCAAACACUUACAUAUGAUGACCCUUGAUAACAGCAUAGUCUUCUGCAUUCCGUCCAUAGCGAUCUUGAGGAGAGAUAUCAACGCCUUGCUCAAGAAGCAGCCUGACUACACUUGAUGAUGCAAAAUUUACAGCAAGUAUGAGGGCUGUUCUAAAAUACAGAGAGAGAGCUUCAAGCUUCAGAACUCUAGUUAACUGAAUUAAGCAGCUAUUUUGACAUGUUUUAUCAAGUUAAUAUCUUGCCCACCCAUGUAGAAUUGACCAUUUACAUGCUCAAGGGUUCAUCUUUGUAAAUUACAUCCAAAGCUAGAAUGAAGGGCCAAAAAAGAAGUCUUCUGCCCUGCUGGAAUAGCAUGUGAGAGAAGUGGCUACUUUAAAGUCACUGAUGGACAAUAAAUUAUGCUGAGGUCACUUAUCUGAAGUGAGUGAGUAUUUAAAGGAAGAAUUUCCCAUUUCUUCCCAUUUCUUCCUUCCAUUUCAUACCGUUUGCUUCUGAAUCAGCUAGAGGUCAGGCUAAGAAAAAGCUAUUUGUAGGCUUAAAACAAUAGUAAUAUUAAUAGUGAUAGUAAUAGUAAUAGUCAUAGUCAUAGUCAUAGUAAUAGUAGUAGUCAUAGUAAUAGUAAUAGUAAUAAUAAUAUUAAUAGUAGUAGUCAUAGUAUUAGUAGUAGUCAUAGUAAUAGUCAUAGUAGUAGUCAUAGUAAUAGUCAUAAUAAUAGUAAUAGUAGUAGUCAUAGUAAUAGUAAUAGUAAUAGUAGCAGUAAUAUCAUAGUAAUAGUAAUAGUAGCAGUCAUAGUAAUAGUAAUAGUAGCAGUCAUAGUAAUAGUAAUAGUAGCAGUCAUAGUAAUAGUAAUAAUAGUAGUCAUAGUAAUAGUAAUAAUAAUAGUAUAGUAGUAGUCAUAGUAAUAGUAAUAGCAGUAGUCAUAGUAAUAGUAAUAGCAGUAGUCAUAGUAAUAGUAAUAGUAGUAGUCAUAGUAAUAGUCAUAGUAAUAAUAAUAAUAAUGCCAAUGAAAGCAGUCGUGGUUAUCGUUAAUGAUGCUACUAAGAAUGUGCUGGGCCCUAAAAACAGGAUAUAGAAUCUUUCUUAUAAACAUCCAUGCCUGAAGGAUAUAUUACUAUCCUCCCUUUGCUUAUCAGGAAACAUGUUCCUUGACAGUAAGUAUGGUUCCCAAGGUCAUACAUCUAACAAGUAGGCAUGUUAGGACUUAAACCCAGUCUUAAACUAAAGCCCAUCUCUUCCCCCUUCAUCACCCACCUACGACUUGUUUUCAUUAAGGGAAACGUUUAUUCGAUCAAAGCUAUCUUUCCUCCUUUUAACCUUAUCAAUUAAAAUUUAAAAAAUAAAAACACCAAAUUAUAUUAGAAAUAAAAAAGGAUAAAAGUGAUGAGUCCAUAAUAUCUGGUAGUAGGGAUUAACAGGCAGUUAGUAUAACGUAAUAUCACCACUAUUCUUCAAAGAAAGCAACGUAAAGCAAAGAUUCAUUCCAAUGACAAAUUCAGGAGUUCCCUUGUGUCUUGGCUGCUUAAGAAUCGGGCACUGUCACUGCUAUGGCUCCUGGUUGUAGCUGUGGUGAGGAUUUGAUGCCUGGAUCUGCAUGUCCACAUGCCACAGGUAUGGCGAAAAAAAUUUAAAAAGUCAAAACCAACUCCUUUAUGUUUCAUAUGCAUCUUUUAAGGAAAAAAUAUAUACAAAGUAGAGGUUAAGAUAUACCAUAAAGGCAUUCAGAAAUUUAAUACUGUGUAAAUUAAAAAUUGAGUCCAAACUUUUUAAGUUGACUAAUAUGAAAUCCCUCAGCUCUUUUAAGAUCAUGAGACCCCAAAAAAUCAGGUUGAAUGUGACCUUAGUGGAUAUGAUACAGAAAAACAAAUAUCCUGUGAUCUAGUGAUUUUCAUGCUACCCAGUCAGAAUAAUUGCUUUGUUUCCCUAAUGACGACGUGUUGAGGAUAAGUUAUACCUAUUAAUUUCAUCUCUUACCACUCUAGAACAGCACCAUGCUUUUUUCCUUCAGAAUGAACUACUAUACCUUUUCAUCUUAUCAACCGCAUGUAUAUUUGCUUGAUUCCUUAAUAAAAAUCCCACCAUUUGCUGUUCGUUUUCACUGACAGCAAGUAAAAGUGGUGUAAGGUCAUCCUGUAAAACAGCAAAAACAAUUUAUAGUGUACAAAAUUUAUAGUGUACAAUUUAUAGUGUACUUUUAUAAAUGGAAUUUAAAACAUAGAAAAGAGUCUCUGAACUUAAGUGGAUACUACAGAAAGUCCAUAAAAAGGACCCCCUUCCUCCUCAGUGCUCCUUCUCUUUAAAAUUCUCCUCCUCUACCCCCUUGAAAGAUUAACUGCAAAGUCAGUCUCCAAAACUCACUUCCAAUAGUUCUGAGCAUUUUGCUUCUCUCACAGUAUUUUUCAGGUAGACCAUGAGUGUAGUUAUUUUCUUGCUCUACCAGGACUCUAAACAAUACUCCAAGAUAAUAACACAACAUAGCCCUUAAAUCAAUUGCAUUUUUAAGGAACAAUGCUGAGAAUGAUCUAAUGCUGUCUGCAGUAUGCCUAACCUAACCAAUGACUGCCAUGAUUAACCUAAGGUUGCUAGAUAUUCCAAAUGGAAUUGAUUCUUUACAUGUACAAGGAAAGAAAGAGAGUUCUUCAAAGCAGUUGAUGGAGCUCCUGCUGUGGCCCAGAGGGUUAAGGAUCGGGUGCUUUCUCUGAGACUGGGAGGGUUCCAUCCCCAGGCUAGCGCAGUGAGUUAGGAAUCCAGCAUUGCUGCAGCUAUGACCUAGGUUAUGGCUGCAGCUCAGAUUCCAUCCCUGGCCCAGGAGCUUCCAUAUGCCCCCAAACAAACAAACAAGCAAGCAAACAAAAAAACAAAUAACAAUGUAUAAGUUCUAACUUCCCAUUCUUGAGAGAUAAUUGUAAAAUAAAAACUCAACUAUAAAUUAAUGUAGACAGGCAUUACAAUCUUCAAAUUUCUAUGAGAAGAAACUGUCCAAGAGGAAUUGUCAACUCCUAAAUGCUUCAGGAGGCAAAGUAGGUGACUCAAGUAUGUGAAGACCUCAGUGGAGCAGAGCACACAGGGAACUCAGGCCCCACCUGGAAGGGCUGGCCUCUGACUGCAAACCAAACAGUCCCAAGGGCUCAAGGGGGACCAGACUGAUGCUUUAAGAGCGGCCAGAAAUGCAGAUUUCUGCAUCCAUCUCCUAAAUGUUACAUGAUGGCCCAAUGAAUGGGUGGAGGCUGAGUCUUCCCA
Molecule: long non-coding RNA, 8271 nt
Filed under: Sus scrofa (pig)
Lineage: Eukaryota; Metazoa; Chordata; Mammalia; Artiodactyla; Suidae
Description: lncRNA (ENSSSCG00065016285.1)
Source: RNAcentral